GUAGGUGGCAAGCGUUGUCCGGAAUUAUUGGGCGUAAAGCGCGCGCAGGUGGUUCUUUAAGUCUGAUGUGAAAGCCCCCGGGCUCAACCGGGGAGGGUCAUUGGAAACUGGGGGACUUGAGUGCAGGAGAGGAAAGUGGAAUUCCACGUGUAGCGGUGAAAUGCGUAGAUAUGUGGAGGAACACCAGUGGCGAAGGCGACUUUCUGGCCUGUAACUGACACUGAGGCGCGAAAGCGUGGGGAGCAAACAGGAUUAGAUACCCUGGUAGUCCACGCCGUAAACGAUGAGUGCUAAGUGUUGGGGGGUUCCCGCCCCUCAGUGCUGCAGCUAACGCAUUAAGCACUCCGCCUGGGGAGUACGGCCGCAAAGACUG
RNAcentral lists this ribosomal RNA (373 nucleotides) under uncultured organism. RNAcentral's name for it is "partial 16S ribosomal RNA". It matches the Rfam family "Bacterial small subunit ribosomal RNA", at positions 527 to 896 of the family's 1533-position model. The record is from RNAcentral.